This 405-nucleotide ribosomal RNA is filed under the name Triticum aestivum (bread wheat). Its description in RNAcentral is "partial small subunit ribosomal RNA". Lineage: Eukaryota; Viridiplantae; Streptophyta; Magnoliopsida; Poales; Poaceae. The record is from RNAcentral.
CACAAGCUUCCUUCAACCAUGGCUCUCAGCACCUGGGCUGCGUUCCUGUGCGUGACCCUGGCGACCGUCGCGUUCGCGGCGCAGGCCGUGCUCGCCGCCAGAGGUGAUUUAAGCACUGUGAAGCGAGACAGCACGACACCGUAUCGGAAUACCUACCAGGCACCUUCUUAUGCGGCGCCGACGGGGCCACUCCCAGGAUAUCCUCCUCCAAAGUAGUCUGGAGCCUCGGAGGCGAUCGACAAUUGGAGCACGGGAAUACAAGUGCAGCGAGUAUGAAUAAAUUAGUUGCGGAGUGUGUACUCAGUGUUGAUAUAUAAACAUAGUGAUGCACUGAUGCUCGAUUGUACAUCGUUCUAUUUACCUCUCCGAAUAAACGCCACCGAAUGACAUAUGCAUGUGUGCUUG